RNAcentral lists this ribosomal RNA (459 nucleotides) under uncultured bacterium. Its description in RNAcentral is "partial 16S ribosomal RNA". It matches the Rfam family "Bacterial small subunit ribosomal RNA", at positions 338 to 795 of the family's 1533-position model. The record is from RNAcentral.
CCUACGGGAGGCUGCAGUGAGGAAUAUUGGUCAAUGGUCGGGAGCCUGAACCAGCCAAGCCGCGUGAGGGAUGAAGGUCCAGAGUAUCGUAAACCUCUUUUGUCAGGGAACAAAGGAGGGGACGCGUCCACGGCUGAGUGUACCUGCAGAACAAGCAUCGGCUAACUCCGUGCCAGCAGCCGCGGUAAUACGGAGGAUGCGUGCGUUAUCCGGAUUUAUUGGGUUUAAAGGGUGCGCAGGCGGUCAGUUAAGUCAGCGGUCAAAGCCCGGGGCCCAACCCCGGCCCGCCGUUGAAACUGGCAGUCUCGAGUGAGUGAGAAGUAUGCGGAAUGCGCGGUGUAGCGGUGAAAUGCAUAGAGAUCGCGCAGAACUCCGAUUGCGAAGGCAGCAUGCCGGCUCCAAACUGACGCUGAGGCACGAAAGCGUGGGUAUCGAACAGGAUUAGAUACCCGGGUAGUC